GACGAACGCUGGCGGCGUGCUUAACACAUGCAAGUCGAACGGUAAGGCCCUUCGGGGUACACGAGUGGCGAACGGGUGAGUAACACGUGGGUGAUCUGCCCUGCACUUUGGGAUAAGCCUGGGAAACUGGGUCUAAUACCGAAUACACCCUGCUGGUCGCAUGGCCUGGUGGGGGAAAGCUUUUGCGGUGUGGGAUGGGCCCGCGGCCUAUCAGCUUGUUGGUGGGGUGAUGGCCUACCAAGGCGACGACGGGUAGCCGGCCUGAGAGGGUGACCGGCCACACUGGGACUGAGAUACGGCCCAGACUCCUACGGGAGGCAGCAGUGGGGAAUAUUGCACAAUGGGCGCAAGCCUGAUGCAGCGACGCCGCGUGAGGGAUGACGGCCUUCGGGUUGUAAACCUCUUUCAAUAGGGACGAAGCGCAAGUGACGGUACCUAUAGAAGAAGGACCGGCCAACUACGUGCCAGCCGCCGCAGUAA
Molecule: ribosomal RNA, 480 nt
Filed under: uncultured bacterium
Lineage: Bacteria
Description: partial 16S ribosomal RNA
Rfam family: Bacterial small subunit ribosomal RNA
Source: RNAcentral